Molecule: ribosomal RNA, 439 nt
Filed under: uncultured bacterium
Lineage: Bacteria
Description: partial 16S ribosomal RNA
Rfam family: Bacterial small subunit ribosomal RNA
Source: RNAcentral
CUACGGGACGCUGCAGUGGGGAAUAUUGCACAAUGGAGGAAACUCUGAUGCAGCAACGCCGCGUGGAGGAUGACACUUUUCGGAGCGUAAACUCCUUUUAUAUAGGAAGAAGAUGACGGUACUAUAUGAAUAAGCGCCGGCUAACUCCGUGCCAGCAGCCGCGGUAAUACGGAGGGCGCAAGCGUUACUCGGAAUCACUGGGCGUAAAGAGCGUGUAGGCGGAUUAAAAAGUCAGAAGUGAAAUCCUAUAGCUUAACUAUAGAACUGCUUCUGAAACUCCUAAUCUAGAAUAUGGGAGAGGUAGAUGGAAUUUCUGGUGUAGGGGUAAAAUCCGUAGAGAUCAGAAGGAAUACCGAUUGCGAAGGCGAUUUACUAGAACAUUAUUGACGCUGAGACGCGAAAGCGUGGGGAGCAAACAGGAUUAGAUACCCCGGUAGUC